UACGUAGGCGGAAAAUUAAGUCAGUAGUGAAAUCCUGCAGCUUAACUGUAGAACUGUUAUUGAUACUGGUUUUCUUGAAUAUAGUUGAGGUAGGCGGAAUGUGUAAUGUAGCGGUGAAAUGCUUAGAUAUUACACAGAACACCGAUUGCGAAGGCAGCUUACUAAGCUAUGAUUGGCGCUGAGGUACGAAAGCGUGGGGAGCGAACAGGAUUAGAUACCCUGGUAGUCC
This 229-nucleotide ribosomal RNA is filed under the name uncultured bacterium. Its description in RNAcentral is "partial 16S ribosomal RNA". It matches the Rfam family "Bacterial small subunit ribosomal RNA", at positions 568 to 796 of the family's 1533-position model. The record is from RNAcentral.